Molecule: long non-coding RNA, 2379 nt
Organism: Callithrix jacchus (white-tufted-ear marmoset)
Lineage: Eukaryota; Metazoa; Chordata; Mammalia; Primates; Cebidae
Source: Ensembl
GAGGCGGCUCAGUGAGCUCCUGGGGACUCUGAGUGAGGAUGUCCUGCUGAAGAUGGUGGAAGUCUGAGUUUGCAGUAGCUGCCGUGGGGGCAGGAGCCCAAGGUGAUCUGGGGAUACAUGCCCACCGGAUGGGUGCUGCUUAGAGCUUGCUAAAAUUAUGGAAAGAGCAAGCGGACAGACUUUCCCUGCACAGCUGCUCCAGCUGAAGUGCACACACAGGACACUGGACCUGGCCUACAGGCAGCUUCUGACUCAGGAGGAAGAGAGGUGCCUCCAUCUGCCUUCCCGUCCGCGGGCCGUGUGUGCCUCCGUCCUGCCCAAGCCGAGCAGCAGUCUUCCUGUUCCAGGCAGCGUACUUGCCCAGGACUCACUCAUGCUGUCCUGUUGGAUGGGAGGGGACGUGAGACCUGCUGCUUGGUCACUGAGCCCACAGGCUAAGAGGAAACAGAUGCCUGCCCCAGCAACCUCUUGGCAUCUGGCUCCCUGUCCCUGCUCCGGGGCACCGGGACCCACUGCUGUGCCCGGAAGACCUGAAUAUGUCCCAGGACAGGAAGGCCACCAUGUGUCCUAUGCCUCCCAGCUCCUUCCCCUGGGACCCUCCCAAGGCAGAGAGCAGAGAAGGGACUCCCACUGUGACGGGGCAUCUUUGGGACUGCAUGACUGCUUUAGAAACAUCUGGAGUGAUGGACGUUUCAGGCCAUGCGUCUGCACAGAACACCAGCCACUAGACUCGGGCCUGCCCUACUUCAGUUCAUUUUAACCUGAUUUCACCCAUGAAGGUGUUGGUAUUUCCAGGGGCACGGGGAAGACGCUGACCAGGAGCUGUCCUCUACUCCCCCUCUGGCCUCCUGCACAUCGGAGCUGAGAAGACCCACCUCACCCUGCUGGGAACCUCGUGACGCCCACCGCCUGUGAAGCCCAUUCCACGCACCCAGACUUGGGCUCUGCACCGGGAACCUGCUGUCCUCUGCACUAUGAACACUCACCCACUGUCUCUGACUGAAAUCCUUUCUCACCUGGGGAUGCCCCGUCCACGGGCCAUGUUCCAAGAGCCUUCCUGAUUCUGGCUGCCAGGUCUUAAGGAAGGAGGCCUGUCACCUCUGCACCCACCCAUCUGAACAUGGAGGUCAUGGCUAUGUUCCUUCCCCACCCUGUCAGUGCCACGGUCUUCACCGCAUGCUCCUACAUGCUGAGCAGCAGAGCUGCAUGUCUUCACCUUUAAUGAGGAAACACGUGUUCUGCAGAUGAAGGAACGGGGAGGCCACAGCACGGUGGAGCGGGGAGGCCGCCCUCCACAUUCCAACCCCAGGAAAAAGUAACCUGGAGGCAGAAAAAGCCAAAUUGAAGAAUGGACAGUUAUCCACCGAACAUUCUCGAAGGGGAACUGGGUUAUACUGUUUUGAAUUUGAGGUCAAUCUAUUGAAAUUGUUUUUUAAUUCAAAUGAUGGCUUUGUCACCAAUAGCUUAAAAGGCAAACAACGAGCUUGAACACCACACACACACUCCUGAAGUCUAGUCUGUUCUCUGAAAUUGAUGUUUGCCAAUAAACAGGCGCCAUCAGGAAAAAUAGAGGUUUUCCAGAUUGAAAGCUCCCUCCCUCUCCCACAGCCCACUUGCAUACCCCCCUGAAGACAGAGGCCGGGAAGUGAGGCUGGCUCUCUGUGGUGCCAGCCACUCUCUGCAGCACUGGAGCCCUGUGGGGUAAUGACAGGAGGCCUGAGAGAUGCACCCUGCCACAGACACGGGGAUAAGGGCUGUGUCCACAGAAAUUCACUCUCAUGUUCUCUAACUAAGACGCGGGGGGUGUCCAUGGCUGGGCUAACAACUCCACACAAAUGCGAAGGAACCUGACAGGCAGGUGCCCUCAGGAAGCACAUGCAGGGGGCUCUGGCAAAGCAGCCCUUCCUCCACUCACCACCCACCCCAGCUGGGGGGAGAAGAACCUCCCCAUCCAAGGCCCACCCUGACCUGGGAAGAGCAGCCCAACCCCUGUCCACCAUUAACCCUGACCUGGGAGAAUCAGCCCCUCUGCCAUCCACCUUCACUCUGACUUCCAUGUCCAUCAUUAACCCUGGCCUGGGAGAAACAGCACUUCCCCCACUUACCAUCUACCCUAGCCUAGGAGAAGCAGCAGCUCCCCGUACACCAUCCACCCUUACAGCCUUACCUGGGAGAAGUGGAGCCCACCCAUUCACCAUCCACCCUUACCUGGGACAAGUGGAGCCCACCCAUCAACCAUCCACCCUUACCUAGGAGAAGUGGCCCCUCCCCAUCCACCAUCCACCCUUACCUGGGAGAAGUGGCUCCUCCCCCCUCCACCAUCCACCCUUACCUGAGAGAAGUGAACCCCCCCAUCCACCAUCCACCCUUACCUGGGAG